GAAGUCGGCCAGACCGCCGCUGGUGCAAGGACCGAAAGGUCGCACUGGAGGAAGGUCCGGACUGCACAGGGCAGCGUAGGAGGUAACACCUCUCCACCGCGAGGUGAGGAUCAGAGCAACAGAGACGAGCCGAUUCAGUUCGGGUGAAACGGGCAAUCUCUACGCGCAGCAACACCAAAUAGGCACACGUUGACCUGGCCCGGGGAGUGUGCGGGU
This 216-nucleotide RNase P RNA is filed under the name Rubrivivax sp. RNAcentral describes it as "partial RNase P RNA component class A". It matches the Rfam family "Bacterial RNase P class A", at positions 1 to 272 of the family's 367-position model. Rfam says of the family: Ribonuclease P (RNase P) is a ubiquitous endoribonuclease, found in archaea, bacteria and eukarya as well as chloroplasts and mitochondria. The record is from RNAcentral. Lineage: Bacteria; Pseudomonadati; Pseudomonadota; Betaproteobacteria; Burkholderiales; Sphaerotilaceae.